Aphis gossypii (cotton aphid) is the source of this 602-nucleotide long non-coding RNA. RefSeq lists it as uncharacterized. The transcript is spliced from 4 exons. NCBI's taxonomy places the organism in Eukaryota, Metazoa, Arthropoda, Insecta, Hemiptera, Aphididae. The record is from RefSeq and is a predicted model, not a curated record.
AUGAAAUCUCUUCAAUGGACAUAUUUUUCAACUCUUUGGCCGUAAUCGGAACAGGAUAGAAUUCUUCCCUAAUUAUAUUCCUCGGACAAUGUUGAGUUCCGUUCUAUGUUGAAAUACGCGAAUGGAACCGAUGCAACCUGUUUAAUAAUUUACAAUAUAAAUGGCUUGGUUGUACCAUUGAUUUAAUACACGAUUAUUGAUAUAACGUUGUGGUGGUGAUGGACGGUAUUACGACGACGGUGAAGAUCAACUGUGGAGAGGAGAGUGACCUUUUCCUGUCACGCCAUUAUCGCGGCUGUCACUUUUUCUCGUGCACUAUCAACCAAUAGUUGAGUGCAUCAAAUCGAAAAGGCUAUAAUGCAAGCAGAAUUAUACUGAAAAAAAAUCGUUUUGUAUGAAGUACCUACGGCGCAAGAUAUUUCAAUAAUAGGUAUUACCUUGUAUAUUUUGCUGACCUUGUUGGUUGUGACUUGUGAGAAAAAAAAACUUAAAAAGGAGGCUUUCGUCAACAACCAAAAUAUUUUGCAAUAUUCAAAUGGUGAAGCUAAAUAGAUAAACAUUUAUGCAGGCUUUUUUGACAAAAUAAAAUUUUUAUACAUUGA